RNAcentral lists this unclassified non-coding RNA (378 nucleotides) under soil metagenome. Its description in RNAcentral is "partial contains 5.8S ribosomal RNA, internal transcribed spacer 2, and large subunit ribosomal RNA". The stretch from base 3 to 119 matches the Rfam family "5.8S ribosomal RNA", at positions 38 to 154 of the family's 154-position model. The record is from RNAcentral.
GAGAAGAACGUAGCGAAAUGCGAUAAGUAAUGUGAAUUGCAGAAUUCAGUGAAUCAUCGAAUCUUUGAACGCACCUUGCACCCUUUGGCAUUCCGAAGGGUAUGCUCGUUUGAGUGUCAUUGUACUCUCACACUUCCAAUCUUUGGAUUGGGGGCAGUGGACUUGGGUGUUGCUGCUUACUGUGGCUCACCUCAAAUCGAUUCGUGCACCUCUUGGUUGGACAUAGUACGGCGUGAUAAGUGUCUUCGCCGGCACCUCAGUAGAGGGUGGCUGAUCAGGAGCUCUGUGCUUCAAACCGUCCUCGGACAACAACUGACAACUUGACCUCAAAUCGAGUAGGACUACCCGCUGAACUUAAGCAUAUCAAUAAGCGGAGGA